This 497-nucleotide ribosomal RNA is filed under the name uncultured bacterium. RNAcentral describes it as "partial 16S ribosomal RNA". It matches the Rfam family "Bacterial small subunit ribosomal RNA", at positions 38 to 507 of the family's 1533-position model. The record is from RNAcentral.
GGGGGGGGGGGGGGGCGGGGCUGGGGGGGGGGGGGCGGGCGCGGGGGCGGGGGGGUGGCGCCGUUGGCGGUGGCGGCGGACGGGGGAGGCGCACGUGGGGACCCUACGUGUAGGACUGGGAUAACUACGGGCGACCGGCGCUCACACCGGCUAAUCUUUCUAACAGCUUGGUUCGAUCGUACCAGAGUGCUUUGCUAUCACUUAUAGCUGGACCUGCGCCGUAUUAGCUAGUUGGUAAGUUCCCUGCUUACCAAGGCAACGAUACGUAGCCGACCUGAGAGGGUGAUCGGCCACACUGGAACUGAGACACGGUCCAGACUCCUACGGGAGGCAGCAGUAGGGAAUCUUCCGCAAUGGGCGAAAGCCUGACGGAGCAACGCCGCGUGAGUGAUGAAGGUCUUCUGAUCGUAAAACUCUGUUAUUAGGGAAGAAUAAACGUGUAAGUAACUGUGCACGUCUUGACGGUACCUAAUCAGAAAGCCACGGCUAACUACGUG